GGCCCAUCGCCCAUCCCAGCAAUUCCGUGAAGCCGCCACGUGAGGUUCUCACGCCGCUCACCACCUCGCCGUGCGAUCCAGGACGCGCAUCCAACCAACGGCCGCGAUUGAUACAGCUCUCCCUCCUCCUCCCCUCACCUCGAGCGGCCAAAAGAUUCCUCCAAAACAAUUACUCUACUUAUUAAAAACAAAAAUCACCACAAUAAAAUACACAGUGUUUUUCCCUUCCAAAUAUACGUCGUCACUCAACUUGGAGAAAGGGGAAGAGAAGUAGAGGAGGAGGAGGAGGACUGAGGAGGAAGACGAAUUCGACUCGGAGUUUUGGACUUGGCCAUUUGGCCCAAUCUUGCCGUCCGGCGAUUUUUCUUUGGAUUUCUUUGGUGAAACCCUCGGCGGAUGGUCGCUUGGGAGCCAGGCAUUUGAUUCGAUCUUAAGUGGUCCAGGCGAUUGGAGGAGCAGCUGGCUGCUGCUGUUCCCGGGGAGUGGAUUUUCUUGAGGUGCAGUGAAUCUCUCCUGCUGUCAUAGGUUAAAAAAAACAAUUCAAAUUGCCUGGCCUUGGAUCAAGUCCAUUUUCCUAUAGAGAUUGUCUGUCUUAAGUCAAAGCAGCUAUAUUUCUGGCAAACACAACGAGCUAGUUUCAUAUGCAGCGUUCAGUUGAUGGCUGCUCAUCCUGUUGAAUCAGAAGCAAGCAGUGAAACAGACAAUCACCCUUUACUGAUAGACCACAUGGAAAAUACUGCUCAUCUCGAGAUUGCAAUUGAGAGCCCAAGGGAUGAUGUUGCUUCAUCGUCAACCGCUCGUCGGGAGGAUAAUGAUGGCUUGGAUCGAUUGCCUCACAUCUCAGAAAGUUCUUCGGAGACAACUACUGCAUCUAACUCUCAAAGUGCUCCUCUAGCAAGAAGAGAUGCUAAUCGUGCUCGUCGUCGGCAAAGUCCGUUGAAUUCUAGUUGCUGGAUCUCCAUUGAGCUUGUUGUAACAGUUAGCCAGAUUAUAGCGGCCAUUUGUGUUCUGUCAUUGUCAAGGAAGGAACGUCCGCAUUCUCCAUUAUUUGAGUGGGUCAUUGGUUAUACGGUAGGUUGUGUUGCUACUCUUCCUCUUCUCUACUGGCGCUAUCUCCAUCGCAACCGCCCAACAACUGGGCAAGAACCAGCAAGUCAGAACUUCCCUCCGAACAGCAUACCUGAGUCCAAUUCUCACACAACAAAUUCGGCCCCUGGCAUGUCUGAAGCUGGUUUUGUAACUGACACAAAUGGAGUCUCGCAAAACAACGUGCUUACCAGAAAUCUCAGGGCCCAAGCUUAUGCCGAUCACUUCAGGAUGGCCCUUGACUGUUUCUUCGCCGUGUGGUUUGUUGUGGGGAAUGUGUGGGUAUUUGGUGGACAUUCCUCUGCCCAUGACGCUCCCAACUUAUACAGGUUGUGUAUAGCCUUCCUCACAUUUAGCUGCAUCGGCUAUGCUAUGCCUUUCAUUCUGUGCGCAUUGAUAUGUUGCUGCCUGCCCUGCAUAAUCUCCCUAAUGAGCUUUCGUGAAGAUCUAAACCAAAACAAAGGUGCUACUGCAGAAGCAAUCAAUGCCUUGAGAACAUACAAGUUCAAAACGAAGAAGUCCCGUAACGGCGAGGGGAUUGAAGUCGGCGGCGGAGUUGUUGCUGCUGGAACAGACAAGGAGCGGAUUGUUUCUGCUGAAGAUGCUAUUUGCUGUAUCUGCCUAGCAAGAUACUCGAACAAUGAUGAUCUCCGAGAGCUUCCUUGCACCCACUUCUUCCACAAAGAAUGCGUAGACAAAUGGCUCAAGAUAAACGCACUAUGCCCCCUCUGCAAAGCUGAGAUAGACAGUGGCCCGACAACUGCUCCUGCCAUUGGCUUUGGGCGUCGCCACAGUGACAACAGGGUAGGAAAUGACAUCGAAUCACAGCUGUAACUCUGCAUUAUCCAUCGAGGGUGCAACAUGUCCCUGAUGUGGCUUCGACAGAGCAAUUUGUAAAUUAUAAAAUGAAAUAGUUGACACAAUGAACGGGCCCCUUAUAUUAUCGAACCGGUUCUUCGCUGUCUGAUUACUGUCUCAUUGUCAAAAUAUGUUCCGAAGAUGG
This 2089-nucleotide ribosomal RNA is filed under the name Triticum aestivum (bread wheat). Its description in RNAcentral is "partial small subunit ribosomal RNA". The record is from RNAcentral. Lineage: Eukaryota; Viridiplantae; Streptophyta; Magnoliopsida; Poales; Poaceae.